This 450-nucleotide ribosomal RNA is filed under the name uncultured bacterium. RNAcentral describes it as "partial 16S ribosomal RNA". It matches the Rfam family "Bacterial small subunit ribosomal RNA", at positions 354 to 796 of the family's 1533-position model. The record is from RNAcentral.
GUGGGGAAUAUUGGACAAUGGGCGAAAGCCUGAUCCAGCCAUGCCGCGUGUGUGAAGAAGGUCUUCGGAUUGUAAAGCACUUUAAGUUGGGAGGAAGGGUAGUAACCUAAUACGUUGCUACUUUGACGUUACCGACAGAAUAAGCACCGGCUAACUUCGUGCCAGCAGCCGCGGUAAUACGAAGGGUGCAAGCGUUAAUCGGAAUUACUGGGCGUAAAGCGAGCGUAGGUGGUUCAGUAAGUUGGAAGUGAAAUCCCCGGGCUCAACCUGGGAACUGCUUUCAAAACUGCUGAGCUAGAGUACGGUAGAGGGUGGUGGAAUUUCCUGUGUGGCGGUGAAAUGCGUAGAUAUAGGAAGGAACACCAGUGGCGAAGGCGACCACCUGGACUGAUACUGACACUGAGGUGCGAAAGCGUGGGGAGCAAACAGGAUUAGAAACCCUUGUAGUCC